AGCUCAACUGGUAGAGCAUGGCAUUAACAUUGCCGGGGUUUUGGGGUUCGAGUCGCAAGUUCAUUCGUUUCGUUUUUCUGUCUCUCUAAAACAAACCUCCACCG
Merluccius polli (Benguela hake) is the source of this 104-nucleotide non-coding RNA. NCBI's taxonomy places the organism in Eukaryota, Metazoa, Chordata, Actinopteri, Gadiformes, Merlucciidae. The record is from the annotation of a GenBank genome assembly.